RNAcentral lists this transfer RNA (69 nucleotides) under Rattus norvegicus (Norway rat). It matches the Rfam family "tRNA". Rfam says of the family: Transfer RNA (tRNA) molecules are approximately 80 nucleotides in length. Their secondary structure includes four short double-helical elements and three loops (D, anti-codon, and T loops). Lineage: Eukaryota; Metazoa; Chordata; Mammalia; Rodentia; Muridae. The record is from Rfam by way of RNAcentral.
GGGGAUUUAGCUCAGUGGUAGAGCGCUUGUCUAGCAAGUGCAAGGCCCUGGGUUCGAUCCCCAGCUCCG